CGUCUUGUUCUCUCGACACUCUCCAUCCGCUCUCGAUCCCGAUCAGCCGUUGUUGUUAACCAUAGCCUCGUAGCCCAAGCCUCCUCGAGCGGCCGCUACCGCGAGCAGGGCACGCCGCCGCCUCGUGCCACUACGGCCCGCACGCCUCUCGCGCCGCCGGCGCCGCCUGGACGCGCCACCGCGUCUCCGACGCCACCGCGCCGCGCCGAGCCGCCUCCCUUCCGGUUCGAGGCCCUGUGCGGCCUAGCCGGCGCAACCAGCGGAGCCUCGCGCUAGUACCGCGCCCGACCACCGCACGCCUCGCACCGUCUUGUUCGGCGCCGCUGCCCGAGUGGCGCAGCCCGCGCACAUACCCGCGCGCGGUCUGCAUCGCCCGUGCAGCCCUAGCGCCCACGCCUGGUGCAGCCCCGCGACCUGGGCCAACGCGUCUAGCGCAUACACGCGCCGCCCUCGCGCCCCUGCACCCCUCACGCGCGCUUCCCGUGCCGCCAGCGCCUCUGCUCCUCCAGCGCUUCCUGGACGCACCACCGCGUCUCCAGCGCUACCGAGCCCGCUGUUAGCACCUUCCACGCACUGUGCAUCCGCGCCGCACCGCUGACGGUACCGCCUGCGCCUCCGCCGUGCGCCACUCGCAGACCACGACAGCCCGAGCAGCCCGCGCUGCCUACGCGCGCCCUGCACGCCCUGCGUGACCACGCUAGCCCGAGCAGCCCGCGCAACCCACGCGCGCCCUGCACGCCCCGCGUCUCCCUGCGGUCCGCACACAGCGGCCGCCUCUUCCUCGAGCCGCAUACAACGGCCUCAGUACUACCUCGUGCCACGUUGGCCGCAGCAACGCCGUCCAGCCCAGGCGCCUGACCCAGUGCUGAUACUGCUGCUGUUACUGUCCUCGACGUUGUUGAAGCUGCUGCCGCUCUAGUACCGAAUCCUCCUCUUACAAUCUUUAUUCGGUACGCAAGUACACGCACGCACGCAACACACACGAACACCGUACGCACACACAGCGACCCAUCCGCACUCUCGGCCUCGAUCGAUCGGUCCGGCUUGAACCACCGACGAUCCACACCAACAAUCGCGUACGUACGUGACCAUCAAUCGACCAAUCGGCCGGACCUCAAUCACCGGCCAUCACCACCGGGGCACCACGAGACCCUUGCUCAAGCACGAGCACCCACAACCGCAAACUCGCGGCCUUUGGAGGACACAGGUGGACACAGAAGAAGAAGGGAAGAAGAAGAUGGAGCCAGACGUCGUCUUGUUCUCUCGACACUCUCCAUCCGCUCUCGAUCCCGAUCAGCCGUUGUUGU
Molecule: ribosomal RNA, 1307 nt
Filed under: Triticum aestivum (bread wheat)
Lineage: Eukaryota; Viridiplantae; Streptophyta; Magnoliopsida; Poales; Poaceae
Description: partial small subunit ribosomal RNA
Source: RNAcentral